GUUUCUCAGGCAGUGGGCAGGACCAUAGAAUUACCAAGAGAUUAUGUCCUUUGUCUUUGGCUACCAGGGCAAAUCGAGAAAGACCAUCAGGCUUAACAACUGCUUGAGGUAUGGAUAUUUGGCAGGAGCCACUCUUUUAGGAGGAGCCACCAACUUGGACCAUGAGUAGGAAGACCAUGCCUGAGGGAAAACAAAGGAGGCUCAUUCCAGGAAGAUUUCAUCAAGCCCACACAAUCGCCAUGGUACUGUGCCACGAAAUUCCAGCCUCCUUCACCUCUCUGAACUCUGGUGUGUGUGUCUUUAAUUCGGUGAGAUCAAUGGGAUCUUCCUGUGUUUGCCCUCCCAUAGAAGGCACCAUGUUUUGUAAUGUGUCUUCAUGAAAAAAGCCGUGAUGAUAUCAGUCUCAGUCUCAGUCUCUGCUUUUUUCCCUUCUGUCUCUCUCUCCUUUUUUUUUUUUUUUUUUUUUUUAGACGGAGUUUCACUCUUGUUGCCCAGGCUGGAGUGCAAUGGUGCGAUCUCGGCUCACCACAAUCUCCGCCUCCUGGGUUCAAGCGAUUCUCAUGCCUCAGCCUUCCAAAUAGCUGGGAUUACAGGAGUGCGCCA
RNAcentral lists this long non-coding RNA (603 nucleotides) under Homo sapiens (human). RNAcentral's name for it is "HSALNT0019452". Lineage: Eukaryota; Metazoa; Chordata; Mammalia; Primates; Hominidae. The record is from RNAcentral.